UACGUAGGGGGCUAGCGUUGUCCGGAAUCAUUGGGCGUAGAGCGCGCGUAGGCGGCCCGGUAAGUCCGUUGUAAAAGUCAAAGGCUCAACCUUUGAAAACCGAUGGAUACUGCCGGGCUCGAGUCCGGAAGAGGCGAGUAGAAUUCCUGGUGUAGCGGUGGAAUGCGCAGAUAUCAGGAGGAAUACCCAUAGCGAAGGCAGCUCGCUGGGACGGUACUGACGCUAAGGCGCGAAAGCGUGGGGAGCGAACAG
RNAcentral lists this ribosomal RNA (252 nucleotides) under uncultured prokaryote. RNAcentral describes it as "partial 16S ribosomal RNA". It matches the Rfam family "Bacterial small subunit ribosomal RNA", at positions 524 to 775 of the family's 1533-position model. The record is from RNAcentral.